AAUGUGCGAAAAGUAAUGCGAAUUGCAUACCUCUGCGAGUCAUCUAGUCUUUGAACGCAAAUGGCACUGUCACGACGAGUGAUAGUAUGUCUGUUUGAGAACCACAAAAACACUCACCACUUUAUUAGUGUGUAGAUUUGUCCCUUUUAUACUACUCUAUAAUGGGAUUAAAUGAAUGAUGCUGCGUAGAUUACACACAGAAUAUGUGAUAAUAUCUUCAUAUUCAUAGUGUGAUCUUUUAUACGUGCAUGGUAUUAGCGUGUACUAUAUUAUAUAGUAACAUAUAUUAUAUAGUAUAUGCACUCCAAAAACAUGGUCUCAAAUUAGACAAGGUUACCCGCUGAACUUAA
RNAcentral lists this unclassified non-coding RNA (350 nucleotides) under uncultured Rozellomycota. RNAcentral describes it as "uncultured Cryptomycota sequence contains ITS1". The stretch from base 1 to 104 matches the Rfam family "5.8S ribosomal RNA", at positions 50 to 154 of the family's 154-position model. The record is from RNAcentral. Lineage: Eukaryota; Fungi; Rozellomycota.